RNAcentral lists this ribosomal RNA (253 nucleotides) under uncultured bacterium. RNAcentral describes it as "partial 16S ribosomal RNA". It matches the Rfam family "Bacterial small subunit ribosomal RNA", at positions 524 to 776 of the family's 1533-position model. The record is from RNAcentral.
UACGUAGGGGGCAAGCGUUGUCCGGAUUUAUUGGGCGUAAAGCGCGCGUAGGCGGCGCGGUAUGUCGUGCGUGAAAUCUCCCGGCUUAACUGGGAGGGGCCGUGCGAAACUGCCGGGCUUGAGGUCGGAAGGGGAAAGUGGAAUUCCGGGUGUAGUGGUGGAAUACGUAGAUAUCCGGAGGAACACCAGCGGCGAAGGCGGCUUUCUGGUCCGAUACUGACGUUGAGGUGCGAAAGCGUGGGGAGCGAUCCGG